RNAcentral lists this long non-coding RNA (857 nucleotides) under Homo sapiens (human). Its description in RNAcentral is "HSALNT0318621". The record is from RNAcentral. Lineage: Eukaryota; Metazoa; Chordata; Mammalia; Primates; Hominidae.
CACGUUGCAUGACAGCAGGCAAGAGAGCAUGUGCAGGGGAACUGCCUUUUAUAACGAACUCGUGAGACUUACUAUCACGAGAAGAGCAUACGAAAAACCCGCCCCCAUGAUUCAGUUACCUCCCACUGAGUCCCUCCCACAACACAUGGUGGUUAUGGGAGCUACAAUUCAAGGAGAGUUGGAAACUGAACAAAGAUAAAAUGUGGAAUUUUCAUGUCAGUCUGUGAACAAAGAACAGGACUCAACAGAUGGUGCCUGCACUUCCAUUCAUUCAAUGGAAUCUCGCUCUGUCACCCAGGCUGGAGUGCAAUGGCGUGAUCUCGGCUCACCGCAACCUCCGCCUCCUGGGUUCAAGUGAUUCUCCUGCCUCAGCCUCCUGAGUAGCUGGGAUUACAGGCGCCCACCACUGCGCCAGGCUAAUUUUUGUAUUGUUAGUAAAGACAGGGUUUCGCCAGGUUGGCCAGGCUGGUUUUGAACUCCUGACCUCAGAUGACCCUCCCAUCUCGGCCUCCCAAAGUGCUGGGGUUACAGGCACAAGCCACUAUUCCUGGCCGGUUGAUUAUUUUCUUCUAUUCUGGGGAUAUUUUUAAAAAUCCAACUUCUUAGAAAUUUGAAAUCAGAAUUAAACUUUCAAAAAAUUACCAUGGCCUCAAGUUUUGGAUUAGAGAUAUAUUUUUAUUUACUCUAUCCCCAAUACAAAAUUUUAAAACCAGAUACCUUUUAGGUGCUCAAUACAAAUGUAUUAAAUAAAUAAAUUAAAUAAAUAUCAUGGAAAAAAGAAUCAAAAAUUCUCAUUAUUGUGGUAUCAAAAUUAAAAUCAAUUCAUCUUUAAGGCAAUACUUCUACAUAUGAAAUGG